RNAcentral lists this ribosomal RNA (292 nucleotides) under uncultured bacterium. RNAcentral describes it as "partial 16S ribosomal RNA". It matches the Rfam family "Bacterial small subunit ribosomal RNA", at positions 505 to 796 of the family's 1533-position model. The record is from RNAcentral.
GUGCCAGCAGCCGCGGUAAUACAGAGGCCUCGAGCGUUGUUCGGAAUUACUGGGCGUAAAGGGAAUGUAGGUGGUCAUGUAAGUCAGAUGUGAAAGCCCUGGGCUUAACCCGGGAAGUGCAUUUGAUACUGUGUGGCUAGAGUGCGAGAGAGGAAGGCGGAAUUCCAGGUGUAGGGGUGAAAUCCGUAGAUAUCUGGAGGAAUACCGAUGGCGAAGGCAGCCUUCUGGCUCGUAACUGACACUGAGAUUCGAAAGCGUGGGUAGCAAACAGGAUUAGAUACCCUGGUAGUCC